GGGGGUGUAGCUCAGUCCGGUAGAGCAGCAGACUUUUAAUCUGUUGGUCAAAGGUUCAAAUCCUUUCACCCUCA
RNAcentral lists this transfer RNA (74 nucleotides) under Planctomycetota bacterium. RNAcentral describes it as "Planctomycetes bacterium (wastewater metagenome) tRNA-Lys". It matches the Rfam family "tRNA". Rfam says of the family: Transfer RNA (tRNA) molecules are approximately 80 nucleotides in length. Their secondary structure includes four short double-helical elements and three loops (D, anti-codon, and T loops). Further hydrogen bonds mediate the characteristic L-shaped molecular structure. tRNAs have two regions of fundamental functional importance: the anti-codon, which is responsible for specific mRNA codon recognition, and the 3' end, to which the tRNAs corresponding amino acid is attached (by aminoacyl-tRNA synthetases). tRNAs cope with the degeneracy of the genetic code in two manners: having more than one tRNA (with a specific anti-codon) for a particular amino acid; and 'wobble' base-pairing, i.e. permitting non-standard base-pairing at the 3rd anti-codon position. The record is from RNAcentral. Lineage: Bacteria; Pseudomonadati; Planctomycetota.